GACGAACGCUGGCGGCGUGCUUAACACAUGCAAGUCGAACGGUGAAGGAAGAGCUUGCUCUUCCGGAUCAGUGGCGAACGGGUGAGUAACACGUGGGCAACCUGCCCUGACUCUGGGAUAACUCCUCGAAAGAGGUGCUAAUACCGGAUACGACCACUUCGGACAUCCGAUGGUGGUGGAAAGUUUUUCGGUCAGGGAUGGGCCCGCGGCCUAUCAGCUAGUUGGUGGGGUAAUGGCCUAUCAAGGCGACGACGGGUAGCCGGCCUGAGAGGGCGACCGGCCACACUGGGACUGAGACACGGCCCAGACUCCUACGGGAGGCAGCAGUGGGGAAUAUUGCGCAAUGGGCGAAAGCCUGACGCAGCGACGCCGCGUGAGGGAUGAAGGCCUUCGGGUUGUAAACCUACUUUCUAGCAGGGACGAAGCGAAAGUGACGGUACCGAACCAGAAAGACCACGGCUAACUACGUAGCCAGCAGCCGCGGUAAU
RNAcentral lists this ribosomal RNA (488 nucleotides) under uncultured bacterium. Its description in RNAcentral is "bacterial SSU rRNA". It matches the Rfam family "Bacterial small subunit ribosomal RNA", at positions 28 to 524 of the family's 1533-position model. The record is from RNAcentral.